This 1421-nucleotide ribosomal RNA is filed under the name Aeromonas hydrophila. RNAcentral's name for it is "bacterial SSU rRNA". It matches the Rfam family "Bacterial small subunit ribosomal RNA". Lineage: Bacteria; Pseudomonadati; Pseudomonadota; Gammaproteobacteria; Aeromonadales; Aeromonadaceae. The record is from RNAcentral.
GUAAGCGCCCUCCCGAAGGUUAAGCUACCUGCUUGUUGUGGACCCCACACCCAUGAGUCGAGCGGCAGCGGGAAAGUAGCUUGCUACUGUUGCCGGCGAGCAGCAUUCUGAUGAGUAAUUACUAGCGAUUCCGACUUCAUGGAGUCGACAGUUGGAAACGACUGCUAAUACCGCAUACGCCCUACGGGGGAAAGCAGGGUCUCGCGAGGUCUUGCGUCUUUGUAUAUGCCAUUGUAGCACGUGUGUAGUUGGUGAGGUAAUGGCUCACCAAGGCGACGAUCCCUAGCUGGUCUGAGAGGAUCACCAGUCUCCUUUGAGUUGAGACACGGUCAAAAAGGAUAAGGGUGGCAGCAGUGGGGGAUAUUGCACAAUGGGGGAAACCCUGAUGCAGCCAUGCCGCGUGUGUCUCACAGUUCCCGAAGUUGUAAAUCCAUCUCUGGAAAGUUCAAAGGUUGGCAACUAAUAGGUGAGGUCUGUGACGUUACUCGCAGAAGAAGCACAUGCUCACCGCUUGCCAGCACCCCCGUCAAUUCAGAGGGUUUGAGUUUUAAUCGGAAUUACUGGGCGUAAAGCGCACGCAGGCGGUUGGAUAAGUUAGCUCCGGAAGCCACGCGCUCAACCUGGGCACAACCUCCAAAUCUGUCCCGCUAGAGUCUUGUAGAGGGGGGUAGAAUUCCAGGUGUAGCGGUGAAAUGCGUUCGCACCUGAGCGAAUACCUUUGUCCAGGGGGCCGCCUUCGCCACCGGUUGACGCUCAGGUGCGAAAGCGUGGGGAGCAAACAGGAUUAGAUACCCUGGUAGUCAAGACUCUAAACGAUGUCGAUUUCGAAGCAGUUCCCUUGAGCCGUGGCUUCCGGAGCUAACGCGUUAAAUCGACCGCCUGGGGAGUACGGCCGCAAGGUUAACGCUUGCACGUAUUACCGCGGGCCCGCGCACGGAGUUGAGCCUGUGGUUUAAUUCGAUGCAACGCGAAGAACCUUACCUGGCCUUGACAUGUCUUCCUCCCCGCUGAAAGUGCGGGAGUACCCGAAGGCCUUCUUACACACAUGCUGCAUGGCUGUCGUCAGCUCGUGUCGUGAGAUGUUGGGUUAAGUCCCGCAAUAUUCCCCACUGCUGUCCUUUGUAGGCAGUCUGGACCGGUCUCAGUUCAAGGGAGACUGCCGGUGAUAAACCGGAGGAAGGUGGGGAUGACGUCAAGCCGUUACCCCACCUACAGCCAGGGCUAUCUGGGCACUCUGAUGGCAUGUACAGAGGGCUGCAAGCUAGCGAUAGUGAGCGAAUCCCAAAAAGCGCGUCGUAGCUACCGUUUGAGUCAGUUAUCCCCCUCCAUCAGGCAGUAAUUCCCAGAAAUCGCAAAUCAGAAUGCUGCGGGGAAUACGUGCCCGGGCCUUGUGCACACCGCCCGUCACACCAUGGGAGGGG